AGGACCCUGAAACACACGCCACCUAUCUUUGUGGGGAGGGAUAAUUGAAGAGCGCCAAACGUUUGCUUGACGGGAAGCUUUCUUCUGGUGUCAUCCGGAGAGCAGCCCCCCCCCCGCCGCCCAUACCGCCACGACCCACGCUCCGGAUCGAACUGGACACAAUUGCCCCCUCCGAUCCGAAUCAAAGAGGGCUUUUUUUCCAUUGACACCUUCUCCGGGGCAGACAAACGAAGCGUCUCCCUUGCCUUGGCUUCGUCCAAGCCUCCAGUCCCAUCCCUUGGCAGGAAGUUGCCGUGGGGGAAAAGGGAGGGAGAAAAAGAAAAGGAGAGACUUACUUUCGAGUAAACUUGGAGAGGCUUGGGAGACGCACGUGUGAGAUUUGCAGCACGAGGCU
This 394-nucleotide long non-coding RNA is filed under the name Podarcis muralis (Common wall lizard). Its description in RNAcentral is "lncRNA (ENSPMRG00000007484.1)". Lineage: Eukaryota; Metazoa; Chordata; Lepidosauria; Squamata; Lacertidae. The record is from RNAcentral.